MicroRNA precursor from Cricetulus griseus (Chinese hamster), 85 nucleotides. The record is from Ensembl. Lineage: Eukaryota; Metazoa; Chordata; Mammalia; Rodentia; Cricetidae.
GUGAGCAGACAGGGAGCAGUGGGGGAGUCUGUCUCGUGGGCACCCUGAGCCCACGCAUGUCCCUCACCCUGAUGCUUCCCUGCAG